RNAcentral lists this ribosomal RNA (232 nucleotides) under uncultured bacterium. Its description in RNAcentral is "partial 16S ribosomal RNA". It matches the Rfam family "Bacterial small subunit ribosomal RNA", at positions 796 to 1041 of the family's 1533-position model. The record is from RNAcentral.
CACGCCGUAAACGUUGAGAACUAAGUGUUGGGGAGACCCAGUGCUGAAGCUAACGCAUUAAGUUCUCCGCCUGAGGAGUACGCACGCAAGUGUAAAACUCAAAGGAAUUGACGGGGGCCCGCACAAGCAGUGGAGCAUGUGGUUUAAUUCGAGGCUACGCGAAGAACCUUACCAGGGCUUGACAGGAAACUUAAGACCCUAGAGAUAGGGGGAUAAUAAGUGAAACAGGUGG